Triticum dicoccoides is the source of this 380-nucleotide long non-coding RNA. RefSeq lists it as uncharacterized. Lineage: Eukaryota; Viridiplantae; Streptophyta; Magnoliopsida; Poales; Poaceae. The record is from RefSeq and is a predicted model, not a curated record. The transcript has 3 exons.
CCACUACCUUGCAGCCAUAGAUUGAUUCCAUCAUGCGCUGGCAGGCUAGAUGUUCAAGGAGGUAGCGGAGGUGCAGCCGUGUGUCCAUCCUCUCCCAUGGAAGAUAUUCAAGGAUUUAACAUUAUGGAAAUGUUCAGCAGAUGAUCUUUUGUAAGUGAAAAGAAUACAUUUUUAUAAGAGCAAUCAAUGUGGGACCAAUACAAGGAUUUAGAGGACAAAACUAAUUAUAAGGACAGAUUAUAACAGGUUUUAUAUCGGAAAUAAUCUUGAAACGUGCAAGGGAAAUCUUUACAUUUUUCUAGAAGCCAUAUCCAUAAAAGCUGCGAAAGCCGUCAAGCUGAUGUACCAAACUAGCUAUAAAAUUUUUAGAUAGAUUUCGA